AGAAGGGCGCGGCGCAGCUGUCUGGAGAGCGUGUCCUCAGGGCCUGCCCAGCCGCCCCACCACCCACCGCCCCGCCC
RNAcentral lists this microRNA precursor (77 nucleotides) under Procavia capensis (Cape rock hyrax). RNAcentral describes it as "miRNA (ENSPCAG00000020362.1)". Lineage: Eukaryota; Metazoa; Chordata; Mammalia; Hyracoidea; Procaviidae. The record is from RNAcentral.